UCCGCAAAACUUCGAAAUUCAGCUGGAACGAGGAGUGCGAGCAAAUCUUCGGCCAGCUCAAAGAAUUCCUGUCCUCGCCGACCGUCAUCCAAAAGCCCCGCCUAGACCUACCCAUAGUAGUCUACUUAGCGGUAUCGGAGGAGGCGGUCAGUGCCGCCCUUGUCCAGGAGGUAGAUCGCGAAGAACACCCGGUAUACUUUGUCAGCCGGACGCUCCAUGCAGCCGAGACCAGGUACCAAAUGAUAGAGAAG
RNAcentral lists this long non-coding RNA (251 nucleotides) under Phaseolus vulgaris (common bean). RNAcentral's name for it is "long non-coding RNA (PVUL_LNC000481)". Lineage: Eukaryota; Viridiplantae; Streptophyta; Magnoliopsida; Fabales; Fabaceae. The record is from RNAcentral.